This 475-nucleotide unclassified non-coding RNA is filed under the name Hevea brasiliensis (rubber tree). Lineage: Eukaryota; Viridiplantae; Streptophyta; Magnoliopsida; Malpighiales; Euphorbiaceae. The record is from RNAcentral.
GUACUGAUGUUGCUAAAGCAUUGGAUGCUCCUAUAUUCCAUGUGAAUGGUGACGAUACCGAAGCAGUGAUCCAUGUUUUUGAGCUUGCAGCGGAGUGGCGGCAGAUGUUCCAUUCUGAUGUGGUGGUGGAUGUUGUUUGUUACCGUCGGUUUGGGCACAAUGAGAUUGACGAACCUACUUUCACACAGCCUACAAUGUAUCAGGUAAUUCGUAAUCACCCAACAACACUUGAGAUAUAUCAAAAACAACUUUUGGAAAAAGGACAAAUCACCAAGGAAGAGAUUGAAAGAAUAGAGAAGAAAAUAUACACAAUCCUGCAAGAAGAAUUUGAUAACAGCAGAAACUACGUUCCAAAGAAGAGGGAUUGGCUCUCUGCUUUUUGGGCUGGAUUUAAAUCACCUGAACAGAUUUCACGCUCGCGGAACACUGGAGUUAAGCCUGAGAUUCUGAAACGUGUUGGUCAAGCCAUCUCAAC